This is a long non-coding RNA of Gavia stellata (red-throated loon), 4266 nucleotides long. RefSeq lists it as uncharacterized. The record is from RefSeq and is a predicted model, not a curated record. The transcript is spliced from 4 exons. Lineage: Eukaryota; Metazoa; Chordata; Aves; Gaviiformes; Gaviidae.
CCAACACCACCAUGCCCACUAAACCAUGUCCCACAAUGCCAUGUCCACACGUUCCUUGAACAUCUAAAACAGUUGUAUCCCUGAGAGCACAGCGCUGGCUGCUCCCCUUGUGUCCACAGAUUCCCACAGUCACCGGUGGAGUCUCUUCUACUACAGGUACAGGGUGCCAACUUCAAACUGUGGUCUUACCGCAAAGAUGACACACUACGUGUUUUACUGACUAUCUUUCUCAAAGGAUUUUAAUGGGAAAAUAGCAGCUAGCAUUCAGAAAAGGAAUAUAGUAACUUUAUAUUUUUACAAUUCCUUGGUUAGUCAUUUGAUAACACUUCCCCAUAAAGUUACAUGCCUACAUACUACAGAUUUAGGUUUUUUGUCAUCUCCAAUUGAGGAAGCUCUUCUAUCUGCCAAGUACUACUUUUAACCUAUUUUUACCUACUCCUUUUUACCUAUUCAAGGACUAUUAAUUUCUGUAACGGUUUUCUGAAAGACAUGUCAGUACAGUUCUCAUUUCUGAAGUUGCAGAGAUAGCUUAAUGAUAACAAAUUAAACUUUACCAGAUUGCAUGUGGGAAACAUUUGGACUUAAUUGAAUCCCUUGUUUCUUCCAACUCAAGUAUCAUUUGCAAAUACAUAUAUCUACACAGACUUACACUUCACAAUUUGUACAUAAAUAUAUUCAAGAUCAGCUCAUUCUGAUCAUAUUUAACAGUGGGAGGGAAACAGAGUUUCUCUUGCUUGGACUCAGAGACACCCUUGAAUUUGCGCCACUUGGGGUCCUUAUGUUCUUCUUUCCUGUUACUUCAGUCAUGGCCACGAGCUAGGUGUUGCAUCUUUUCCUCCUAAUAUGAAUAUGUGAUAAUGGAAAAUAACUAAAGCAAAGUUAGGCAGCAAGUACUUACCAAUAUCUAUGGGGUGGAAUGAAUUACUUGCUCUUCUGUGAUACUUCUGGAAGACAUUUAAAAAUAACAUAAAACUGGUGUUAAUAAUUAUCUUAGUUACCCAGGCUAGAACAUCUUCCUCCGUAGGAGUCAGAUGUUAACAGCCUAGUCAGUAGAUUUUUUCUUUUAUUGAGUUUAUUAGCUGUUAUUCUUAAACAGCUGUUCACCAGAUGGUUUGUUAUUUCUUGAUUCCAUCUCUUGCCUAUAACAAAGAGAUAAAGUUUACACUUUAAAGUUCCAGUUGCUACAUUUAGGCAUAGAUUUUUUACCAUCUUUUUUCCUUCACAGGAAAGGUUUUAACCCAUGACUUAUAAUCAUGCACCAUAGCGUCAACUUCAGGAAACAUGAAAUGCAACAGUUAAGCCUCAGUUAUAGAAGGGUAUGAUUAUCCUCUACUAUUUUAUUGGUUUGGGCCAGGAUAGAGUUCAUUUUCUUCAUAGUAGCUUGUAUGGGGCUAUAUUUUGGAUUUGUACUGAAAACAGAGUUGAUAACACAGGAACGUUUUAGUUACUGCUGAGCAGUGCUUACACAGAGUCAAGGCCUUUUCUGCUCCUCACACCACCCCACCAGCGAGUAGGCUGCAGGUGCACAAGAAAUUGGGAGGGGACACAGCCGGGACAGCUGACCCCAACUGACCAAAGGGAUAUCCCAUACCAUACAACGUCAUGCUCAGCAUAUAAAGCUGGUGGAAGAAGGUGGAAGGGGGAACAUCCAGCAUUUGUCUUCCCAAGUAACCGUUACGCAUGAUGGAGCCCUGCUCUCCUAGAGAUGGCUGAACACUCACCUGCUGAUGGGAAGUGAAUGCAUUCCUUGUUUUGCUUUACUUGCAUGUGUGGCUUUUGCUUUACCUAUUAAACUGUCUUGAACUCAACCCACAAGUUUUCUCACUUUUAUCCUUCUGAUUCUGAGCAAGCAGCUGUGUGGGGCUGAGCUGCUGGCCAGGGUUAAGCUACAACAACUAUUUUCCUUCAACGUUACUUCUACUCUGGAAGAAUCAACAUUUUACUAUUCAUUAUUCUCCCCUCUGAGAUUUCUCCUAUACUUACACACACUUGUUUGAAAGAACAUGACCGAAAUCAGUAACUCCAGCUCUAGGUUCAGCUGCUUUGUUAAGCUGUUGUCUGGUAGAGGAUUACCCUGUACAACAAACCAGAGAGCCCCACCAAGGCCACGAAGGUGCUUGGUUUUGGAGCAUUUUCCUAGCAGUUGAUGGAGAUCCAUGGAAUCUCUUUUUAAGACCAUCUAUUCCUGAAGUAUGAAUUCUUUGUCAGUGUCUUCGUUUGCUUCAUGAUUUGGACAGCCAUCUCUUGUUCCUUCUGUUUUAUAGUAGGUUUUGGUGGGGUUUUUUUCCAAUUAAAGAUAUUAUCAGUUUCUUGAACUUGCAGUCUUUUCCUACUUUUUAACUGGGCUUCCUGGGCCAUUAUCUGGUUCUCAUUUUUGUGAUUAGCCUCUGCAGCAGGCCAUCAUUACUAAUUAGCGUUUUCACAGGAGCUUUGAUGUAUUCUACUUGCAUAUUCAGCUUCUCCCUCUUACUUACACCUGUAAAAAUGCUGUGGCACUUCGUCCUGUAUUUGAGUAGCAAUGUGAAUGGCAUUCCUUACAGCCUGCACCUCCCUAAAGUUUCUACAUUAUGUUGAUGGUGCACCAAUAUCUUACACUACCUAAGAGGUCUCAGUUUAAGUCAACUUUCAAGUUUGUUAAACUUGAAACUGCAAACUGAAAAGCUGAGAAGUAACAGAUUAACUUAAACUCACGGAGUUACUGCUAUUCCUUGUUGCUUUGCUGAUCACCAUCUUAUUAUUUUUUUAAUGAUACUGGAAAGUCACACUGGUAAGGGCAACAGUACCCAUAAAAAUCAAACACCCCACUCAUAUUCCUGCAUAUUUUGUUUCUUUAGAGGACACUGGUGGUUUCAUGGUUCGUUCCCACGUUUCUGCAGCCAGGGCCCCAGGGUCUGAGCUACAGCUCUUCUCUGCUCCAGGUCGGGCCAACAACGGUCAUUUCCCAAGGAUGCAUGGAUGACUUAAGGGCAGGAGUAACCUGUUGUGCAAAAGCCAGCCUGGCCCCAUCCACCACAAUGCUGCUGCUCUGCUCCAGGGGACACCACUGCGGGGACGGCCCUGCGCCGGUUCAACGGACAGGGCCGAACCCCUCAGCCGUGCUGGAGGCACCCCAGGAAAACGUGCUCAAGGAGGGGCAGAAAACCCCAGUGAGAGCGUGUGAGGAGGAGGAGGGACCGGCAGUGAAAAGCUCCCGCGUGCUGACCGUGACCUGGUAAUUUUCUCCAGGUUGAAGCUGUUUUGCCCAUGAUGGAAACUGCCUGCAGGGAACCAGGCACCAGCCUGAGCUGGAGCAAGACCCAGACCCGCAGGUGCACCCGAGCAGCACUCGGGGCCUGACUCUCCAUCGACGAAGCCCUCUUCACACUUGCUGAAGGCCGCCUCGUCGCCUCCCCCCCAGUGCUGAGCCCAGAGGAUCUCCGAGGCAGGUCCUGACCGUGCGGGCAGCUUCAUCCCGGCCCCGUGGGCAGGUGAAAGCGUGACCCACUGCAGCCCCGCUGCCUCGCCAGGCUCUGCCCCAUCAGGGGCUCCUCGUCCGGGAGGCGACUGCGGGCUGAGCCCUGUGCUGCAGCGUGGCCGCUGGCAGGAGUGAGAGCCGGAGGGACCCGCGGCCGAGCAGCGCCUGGGGCCUGACUCCUUGGGGAUGAGCCCACAGCUGCUCCCGCUCCCCUGAGGCCCCCCCCGCCCGAUGCCGAGGGGAAAGGCCUGUGCUGGGCGACUGCCGGGACGCUGCCCGAUCCUGCCUGGCUCCUGCCCCCUUCCUGGGGGUGGGAGUGCAGCUCCUGCUCGCUGCGGCGCCGGGGGGGCUCUUGACAUGGCUGUAAAUCAGUCGCUGCCAUCACUUGAUUGGACGUAGGAGCCAGUUCAGUCCCAGGUUCGUCUGCAGCACGUGAGGGCGACCUGGCCGGUGGCACUGCCCCCACAAAUUGCCGAGCAGGAGCCACGCACGUGCUGGGACACAUCGUUUCUGCCCUUGAAAGGGGAUGGGGAGAGACCUGCCCAGGGUUUACCGAAUCCCUGAGGAAGAAGCCGGGCUGCCGGCGCUGAGGCCGAUGCUGCCGCCUGCCCUGCUCCUGGCCCGGGACAGACCUGCCUGUCCGUAAGCUAAUUACAGCUUCUGCUCGUUAGAGCAGUGUGGCCUUGGACAAGGUCGUAAAUCAAUCCCUGUCAUAAGAAUGUGAACUGUCAUAAUUUACAUUGUCUAAAUACGGACUACUGAGUUAGUGACUAUUCUGGCUGUUGUACGCACCUUGAAUAAAGAGCUGGACC